GGGGUUGUGGCUCAGAGGUAAAGCACCCACCUAGCAUGUGUGAAGCACUAGGUUCAAUUCUCAGCACCA
This 69-nucleotide transfer RNA is filed under the name Marmota monax (woodchuck). Its description in RNAcentral is "tRNA.Ala". The record is from RNAcentral. Lineage: Eukaryota; Metazoa; Chordata; Mammalia; Rodentia; Sciuridae.